This 73-nucleotide small RNA is filed under the name Methylobacterium sp. 174MFSha1.1. RNAcentral's name for it is "suhB". It matches the Rfam family "Makes More Granules Regulator RNA (mmgR)". Rfam says of the family: SuhB later renamed mmgR (makes more granules regulator) was a putative non-coding RNA found multiple times in the Agrobacterium tumefaciens genome and related alpha-proteobacteria. Other non-coding RNAs uncovered in the same analysis include: speF, ybhL, metA, and serC. Several studies inSinorhizobium meliloti showed that suhB element is indeed a non-coding RNA:firstly it was detected on Northern blot and called Sm8RNA, secondly in an RNAseq study referred to as SmelC689. Lineage: Bacteria; Pseudomonadati; Pseudomonadota; Alphaproteobacteria; Hyphomicrobiales; Methylobacteriaceae. The record is from RNAcentral.
GGAUCACGCCCUUCACGGGCGUUUCCUCCCUGGACUCCAGCCGCUCGCAAGGGCGGCCUUUUGUUUCCGGGGA